Molecule: long non-coding RNA, 5714 nt
Filed under: Podarcis lilfordi (Lilford's wall lizard)
Lineage: Eukaryota; Metazoa; Chordata; Lepidosauria; Squamata; Lacertidae
Source: RNAcentral
GGGCAAACGCCACAUCCUCCAACAAAUAUAUGUUACAGCAGAAAGGCUCAAGUGGAAGGCAAGCAUUCUGGUCUUAAUGUUUUAGGGAUUGGGGUCCCCAUUGUGACACCGAGGGCACGGUGUGUCAUGGAGACACCUCCCUGCUUUGUGACCACCCAGAUCCCCUGCCCCUAGUAUUUUUAUUUUUUUGUUUUGUUACCAUAAUUGGAGCUGGACUGGCUGGAAACAAAAUGCAGGUAUGCAACCACCCCACCCUCUUACCUGACUUUCCCUUAGAAUGCCUCUGGGUUCCAAGUGGGGGUGUUCUGAAGGCUUGGGGGGGAUCUGUUGGUUUAGGGUGUGUUUCCACCGCUUUUUCUUUUAUUUAUUUGGGAAGUGUUGCCUGGUGUUAUGUAAUGAGUCGAAUAGGAUCCAAAAGGCAGCAGUCUGAUUGGUCCUAGAACAAUAGGAUCCAGAAUGCAGCAGUUUGAUUGGUCCACAGGAGCCACCCAAUCCAGCUCCAGGUGGAAGGGAAUCCGCAACCUGAUUGGCCUACAGGAGAAUCCUGGAAUUAGCCAAUCACGCGGGGCCCAUUAUGUAAAUAAUGUAUACAAGGCAGACAUUCUGGGGAAACUUCCAUUUCUCCUCACCACUAUGAGCUGAAUAAAGAGCAUGAAAUCCACUCUCAACUCCGAGUAUAUUUCACCUACUUUUUUGGUCUGUGUUUUAUUUUAUGUUUUCGAAUGGGGAGCAGGUGUACAUGCCCCCAGACUGAAAAAUGUCGAGGACCAUUGAUUUAGGGCUUAAAAAGUAACAAUCUGCACUUUCCACUGGAUUAUGAAACACUACUCAGAAUGUCAAAGGUACAAUCCAGCCAACGUUAACUAUUUCAAUCCUAUUAAUUUAAUAGUGGAGUUUAGCACCCUCCUUUUGAAAUCACUGGAACUGAGGAGUGUUUAACCUAGGCUGCAUUUUGCCCCAGCCACCUGUACUCCUUGAAAAAUCUUUUUUGCAGGCAAGAAACAGGAUUAUUGUCUGUUUUUUCCCCCCUGUGGUGAAGUUAAACAGAAGAAGAGAGAGAAAGUCCCAAGAAAUCAGCAAGGAAACUUCCAUAUUGCAAGUGAAAGAUGGCAGGAGAUCAUUCACAAAAAUGGAAAGAGUAUAUCAUAUAGUUAUCAGAUGGAGUCUGCGAACUCUAAAGAUCAAUUUUCUUUGAAGACUUUUAAAAUGUCAAGCUGAUUUACAUAAUUAAAUACUAAGAGGGGGUAUUUAUGAAGGUAAUAAAUGUGAAGCUUUGUUCCUUAUAUUCCAAAACCUAAAACUCUUUUUAACAGGAACUUUUAGAUGUCACACUGAUUACACGUACCCUAGCAACCAGAGUGUUGUUGAAACGUUAAGUGUAUGAGUCAUUGUAAAAAAAAUUUAAAAUACAGUGGGACGUUGUGAAUUUUAAUGCAUGGCACAGCAAUCCUUCGUAGGAAAUUAUUGAGUUAAAACUUUAGGCAAAAGUUUAAGUAAAAUUAAAUGACCCUCUUGUCGCACACUCCUAAUGUAGUUCUGUGGUUUCAGAAAGUAUUGUUGCAUGCCAUCCUAAUCUCUCAGCAGUGAGAUAUUCCAGGGUUUUUAGGUGCUUAUCCAGGGUUUGUGUUUCCUUUUGGGAAUGAGGGACCAUGGAGACUUAAUGAUAUAUGGUUUACUUACACAUAUGUACAACCUGAGCCUGAGUGCAUUCCCUAUUCCAGUCAGAUCUUUAAACACCUAGAGACCUGGAAAACAAGGCUGAAAUAUAUGUGUACACUACACUACUGUAUAUAUAUUUAAAAGGCACAUCAAAUAUUUUCAGCUAACAGACCAGAUUCUGGAGAUAAUCCCUUCUAUAUAGGGACAGCUGCAAAUACAGACAGCCUCAAAGAAGCAAUUUAAAUUUCUUCCAGUCAGGCAAAAUGACUAAUGUUGGCUUGUUUAUUGGCAGUCUUCUGCUAACACUACAACCUUCUAAAACAAUAGUCAACCUGCUUCCCACCUGAAUCUCCAACCACAUACCUUGUUUCUUGAUUCCAUUAGGUUCAAUUUGUUUUCUUCAUCAAGGAAACAAAAGAGGACUUUUUAACCUAUUAGUCACUCCACAGGAGUAGGCAGACACCCACUUACUUAGAAGUUUUUCAAGAGAUUGGAGAAAUAGGGAAAGUUUGAGGGAAAGGAAAACCACAUGUGCAAAUGAACACCUAACAGAGCACCAGGUUAUUUUUGUUCAGUGACACUUCUGGGUUCUUAACAUCUCGAUGCAACAAUUUCAAAGGGAGCUUUUAUAUGAAUCUAUUUUCAAAAUUCAACCAUCUUACUCAUAAGAGUUGGAAAGGAGACACAAAAUGGUGCAAGUCCAGGGGUUGUUUUUUAAUGUUAUUCAGUGGUACGGUCCCUGCCCCUUUCCCUUCACCAGAGUGUCCCCUUGUAUGCUCUAAGUGCAUGCAACCUGAGGGCCAAGAAAUAUAAUCCCAUGCACCACAUCCUUCCAUCCAAGUUGUGGUCUCCCUGGUUUAAUAUCCUGGGUGGUAGGGUGUGAUUAAAGCAAUGACAAACCUAGACAGCAUCUUAAAAAGCAGAGACAUCACCUUGCCAACAAAGGUCCGUAUAGUAAAAGCUAUGGUUUUCCCAGUAGGGAUGUAUGGAAGUGAGAGCUGGACCAUAAAGAAGGCUGAUCGCCGAAGAAUUGAUGCUUUUGAAUCAUUAUGGUGCUGGAGGAGACUCUUGAGAGUCCCAUGGACUGCAAGAAGAUCAAACCUAUACAUUCUGAAGAAAAUCAGCCCUGAGUGCUCACUGGAAGGACAGAUCCUGAAGCUGAGGCGCCAAUACUUUGGCCACCUCAUGAGAAGAGAAGACUCCCUGGAAAAGACCCUGAUGUUGGGAAAGAUGGAGGGCAUAAGGAGAAGGGGACGACAGAGGACGAGAUGGUUGGACAGUGUUCUCGAAGCUACUAACAUGAGUUUGAUCAAACUGCGGGAGGCAGUGGAAGACAAGAGUGCAUGGCGUGCUCUGGUCCAUGGGGUUGCGAAAAGUCGGACAUGACUAAACGACUAAAUAACAAGGGUGUGAUUGCGUGCUGAGCAUUUCCUAUGCUGUUUUCUUUCAUUCUAUUUAUUAUUGCAUUUAUAUCCCACCUUUCCUGCAAGGAGCUCAAGUUGGAGAGUGUAUGAGUCUCACCUUCCACAUUUCACCCUCAUCACAAGCCCAUGAGCUAGCUUGGGCUGCAGUUUUGACUGCGCAAUGUCACCCACUUGAACCCUGGUUCUCCCAGGUUAUGUUCCAACAUUCUAACCACUGGGCCACCCUGGCUGGCUGUUAGUGGCAGCACUGUCUAUUUCCCCCCUUUUCAUUUAUGUCAAUGCACGGGAACAUUUUUGCACUAGGUCUGGGGCUGCUGCAAAGUUCCAUCAUUGCUUAGGCCAGGCAUAGGCAAACUCUGGCCCUCCAUAUGUUUGGGACUACAAUUCCCAUCAUCCCUAGCUAACAGGACCAGUGGUCAGGGAUGAUGGGAACUAUAGUCCCAAACAUCUGGAGGGCCGGAGUUUGCCUAUGCCUGGCUUAGGCCAUGGUUUGGAGGAAUAUAGGAUAUGUUCAGAGUCUGCUGCUCCCCUGGGCUGCUCACAAUCCUAAACCUUUUUGGAUGUUCUCCUGACACACCUGAGGUGUUCCAACAUCAGUUUUUCCCUGUGUUCUGCCAAGAUAGUGGGGCUUGUGCCAAAUUCUGUGGAUCCCAAGAGAGCAUAACUGGAGUAUAGGAUUGCCUCAGGGGAAAACAACCCCAAUUUUAUUACAGAAGUUUCAAAACAAUUACAGAUCGUCAUGACAGAAUCAUUUUUCUUCUAUGUUUUCUCAGGGGCUGCUUUCUUUUGCUGGACCAAUCAGGCUAGGAAGCAGCUUGGAACCAGGGUGGAUGCAGGAAAUCAGUUCAGAUCAGCAAGGCAAGGUUUAUUUAAGGAAUGAGUCCUGACAACUGGGAGCAAACACCACAUUUGUGGUAACAGAAAGCAAGCGUUUCCUUUGUCCUCCACAAACUUGUAACUCAUAAGGGGGCAGCCAGGAUAUGGACAUAAAAUCACACUCCUCUGUGUUUUAUACAGGGCAAAACUUGGCUUUACUUCACCCAGGUCAAAUACCCAGCUCGGCAACCCCCAUGCAUAUUUAUUCACACACAGGCUGGCAUCCUCAAUGGCACCUCUCUGGAAGUUUCACCCGGGGCAAAAAAAAACCUGGCUUGCCCCCUGGAGCUACAUUCAUUUGUCUUAGAUGAAUGCAAAAUUGUGUUUUUGAACAUGUGAUCUAGUAGAUAUAGGGCUGGAGUUGAACUGGAAAUUGUUGUUUAGUCGUUUAGUCGUGUCCGACUCUUCGUGACCCCAUGAACCAGAGGACGCCAGGCACUCCUGUCUUCCACUGCCUCCCGCAGUUUGGUCAAACUCAUGCUGGUAGCUUCGAGAACACUAUCCAACCAUCUUGUCCUCUGUCAUGCCCUUCUCCUUGUGCCCUCCAUCUUUCCCAACAUCAGGGUCUUUUCCAAGGAGUCUUCUUUUCUCAUGAGGUGGCCAAAGUAUUGGAGCCUCAGCUUCAGGAUCUGUCCUUCCAGUGAGCACUCAGGGCUGAUUUCCUUCAGAAUGGAUACGUUUGAUCUUCUUGCAGUCCAUGGGACUCUCAAGAGUCUCCUCCAGCACCAUAAUUCAAAAGCAUCAAUUCUUCGGCAAUCAGCCUUCUUUAUGGUCCAGCUCUCACUUCCAUACAUCACUACUGGGAAAGAACUGGAAAUACCAGGGUUCUAAUCCACCCUCAUCUGAGUUUUCUGGUCCAAGGGGAAUGCAUUAAACUGUUAUAGUUGCUUCAGUGGGGAAAAAAACACAUGAAUUCCUCUUCUUAGAUAAAAAACAUACUCGAAAGAUUUUACCAUUCAAAAUAAUGUAUAUAUUUUUUGAGGCCCAGCAUUCCUACUUCCUGCCUGCUGGUUUCCUACCUAUGGGCUUGGUCCCAGCAUGCCUCUUUUCUCAUUUCCUUGCCAGCUGGCAGGGUAAUUCUCUGCAUGCAGAGGGCAGUCAACAGUGACUUCUUCCUUAGAUCACCUGGGGCAACAGCAGCUGUUAAAUGUGAGCUUCUUUUCUCGCUGAUGCAUUCGCUCUCCAUCUUUCUUAAUUUUUAAUGGGGAGAGGAAAUCAAACAGCCCAAGAAAAUUAAGACAUCUAAACACAGUUUCUCUCUUUCCCUCCCCUGAUUUGUUGUAGAAAUCCAGAUGUUUCCCUCUUUGGCAAGGAUAUCUCGUAUUUCUGCGCAUGAACCAUGAAGAGUGCCGUUCUUCUCUAAGAUGGUGCAGCCAUUGCGAUCCUGACCAUCAGCUGCAUUAAAUGCGCUUGCAUGCUAGAUUGUUGCAUUAAAUGCACUUGCAUGCAAGUUUGUUGUGAACCUCCCUGAGAUCUGUGAGAAUAGGGCGGUAUACAAAUUUAAUAAUAAAUAAAUAAAUAAUCAAUUGGGUGCAUCUAGAGUCUAGACUGUCACUCUCUUUGCAUGGGAUUCAGUUGUAUUCCAGCAAAUUCAGAGUGUACAAUUUUAGUUGAUUGGGAUGUCAUGUGCAACAAACCCGCUGUCCCAAAAGAUAAGACUUUUUACGAUAAGGAAAUUCUCUUGGGAUGUUAAGGGGGAAAAGUCGGUUGUAUUUCAAUUAUGGCCAAAAAAAAGUAAAACAAUUUUUUAUCUUU